Molecule: long non-coding RNA, 567 nt
Organism: Homo sapiens (human)
Lineage: Eukaryota; Metazoa; Chordata; Mammalia; Primates; Hominidae
Source: Ensembl
ACUGAUCACAUAGACCCGCAGCACUCAGCCAGGCCCCUCACCCCGGCUCUGCUCUCAAGCCGGGCUUGGCUCCCCGCCUGCCCAAAUGCGUUCAACAUCCCCCGAAAGGCCAUUUCCCUUCCAGUCUUCCCGGAGAGAUGUCAGGGUGACGAGGGAGCUUAUCUUUCGGUGGCUCCGAAACAGCCACGAAGCCGAGCUCUACCAGUAACAAAAAUGGCGUCAUUCCGCCAGCGCCAGGACCUCUGUCGCUGGCCGUGGUCUCGCACUGCUUCUGGAGGCUCCCAUUCCAGCCAGAGGAGAGACCUAACACCCUACAUGACUGCAUGGGAGAUACGGCCUAUAAGAAGAUGAUUAAGGUUAAUGAUGUCAGAAGGUGGAACCCUGAUUGGAGACAAGUGUAAGAGACCCAAGAGAUUCUCUCUCCGCCAUGUGAUGACACAGCAUGAAGGCAGCCAUCGGCAAGCCAGAAAGAGAGGCUUCACCAGAAACCAAACCUUUCUGGAACCUUGAUCUUGGACUUUCCAGCCUCCAGAACUGUGAGAAAAUAAAUUUCUAUUGUUUAAGCCA